Molecule: long non-coding RNA, 498 nt
Filed under: Homo sapiens (human)
Lineage: Eukaryota; Metazoa; Chordata; Mammalia; Primates; Hominidae
Description: HSALNT0311091
Source: RNAcentral
AAGACUCAGCAACAGUGUGUUGUGUGUUCCUCUAUAUUUCCCAGACCCCUUUGCCAUUAGGUCGGCUCCGUAUGACUGAGUUCUAGCCAGUGAGGUAUGGGCAGAAGUGAUGUGUACCAAUUGCGAGCUCGACUUUUGAAAUCAUCCCACGUGAUCCUCCUGCCAUCUACCAGCCAUCCUUUUUGAUCUUGAAGGUCUUAUGCCUCAGAUUGUGUAACUACAGGAUGAAGGAAGGCCACUCAACCCACACUUGGACAUGAUGUUCUUUUUGAGGGGAGUCUCUCUGAUGCUUGGAAUGAAUCCUGCUGAAUCAAUGCUGAUGCUUGGAGAUCUUCAAGUCUUUUCCCUUUUUCCCAUUGCUCAUGAUGUCUAUAUAACCUCCAAACAUGCAUCCCACUCCUCUGCCGAAAGACCAUUUUUUUAUAUCUUCAGUGAUGGUCUAGGCCAGGUUAAUUGACUUUUCUUUUUUCUUAAGCCAACUAAAGUCCUCACCACAAA